RNAcentral lists this long non-coding RNA (445 nucleotides) under Nicotiana tabacum (common tobacco). RNAcentral's name for it is "long non-coding RNA (NTAB_LNC015396)". Lineage: Eukaryota; Viridiplantae; Streptophyta; Magnoliopsida; Solanales; Solanaceae. The record is from RNAcentral.
CUGAUCACCUAUCUUAUGCAUGAAACCCCCUUCCUUCUUCGAGCCAUGGCAUGCAGUCUGCUGGCUGUGGUUACCAUGACUUCCAUGCAUAGCAGUGGAGCCAUGGCAUCCUGAUUGUUGAGGUUUGGCGCCAUGGCAUGCAGUCUGCUGGCAGUGGUUAGUAUGAUUUCCGUGCAUAGCAGUGGAGGCAUGGCCUGCUGAAUGCUGAGUUUUGGAGCCGUGGCAUGCAGUUUGCUGGCUAUGGUUAGCAUAACCACCAUGCAUAGCCGUGGAGCCAUGGCCUACUGAUUGUUGAGUUUUGGAGCCAUGGCAGGUGGAUUGCUGACCGUGAUUCUCGUGGUGGAACAUUUUGCCUGUCAUCUCUUUCAUUUUGUCAGCAAAAGAGUGGUGCUCAUUUGCUUUGUGGCAAGUCACAGUGGUGGUUUUUUGGCAGACAGUUUGUUGC